RNAcentral lists this ribosomal RNA (456 nucleotides) under uncultured bacterium. RNAcentral's name for it is "bacterial SSU rRNA". It matches the Rfam family "Bacterial small subunit ribosomal RNA", at positions 340 to 786 of the family's 1533-position model. The record is from RNAcentral.
UACGGAAGGCAGCAGUGGGGAAUAUUGCACAAUGGGCGCAAGCCUGAUGCAGCCAUGCCGCGUGUAUGAAGAAGGCCUUCGGGUUGUAAAGUACUUUCAGUCGUGAGGAAGGUGUUAAGGUUAAUAACCUUAGCAAUUGACGUUAGCGACAGAAGAAGCACCGGCUAACUCCGUGCCAGCAGCCGCGGUAAUACGGAGGGUGCGAGCGUUAAUCGGAAUUACUGGGCGUAAAGGGCACGCAGGCGGUUAAUUAAGUUGGAUGUGAAAUCCCCGGGCUUAACCUGGGAAUGGCAUUCAAGACUGGUUAGCUAGAGUCUUGUAGAGGGGGUAGAAUUCCAUGUGUAGCGGUGAAAUGCGUAGAGAUGGUGGAGGAAUACCGGUGGCGAAGGCGGCCCCUGGACAAAGGACUGACGCUCAUGUGCGAAAGCGUGGGGAGCGAAACAGGGAUUAGAUACC